GGAUGCGAUCAUACCAGCACUAAAGCAUCGGAUCCCAUCAGAACUCCGAAGUUAAGCGUGCUUGGGCGAGAGUAGUACUAGGAUGGGUGACCUCCUCGGAAGUCCUCGUGUUGCAUUCC
RNAcentral lists this ribosomal RNA (119 nucleotides) under Triticum aestivum (bread wheat). RNAcentral also lists the same sequence under 1 other name. Lineage: Eukaryota; Viridiplantae; Streptophyta; Magnoliopsida; Poales; Poaceae. The record is from RNAcentral.